AUUGAACGCUGGCGGCAUGCCUUACACAUGCAAGUCGAACGGUAACAGGGAGCUUGCUCCGCUGACGAGUGGCGAACGGGUGAGUAAAGUAUCGGAACGUACCUUUCAGUGGGGGAUAACUAUCCGAAAGGAUAGCUAAUACCGCAUAUUCUGUGAGCAGGAAAGCAGGGGAUCGCAAGACCUUGCGCUGAUUGAGCGGCCGAUAUCAGAUUAGCUAGUUGGUGAGGUAAAGGCUCACCAAGGCGACGAUCUGUAGCGGGUCUGAGAGGAUGAUCCGCCACACUGGAACUGAGACACGGUCCAGACUCCUACGGGAGGCAGCAGUGGGGAAUUUUGGACAAUGGGGGCAACCCUGAUCCAGCCAUGCCGCGUGAGUGAAGACGGCCUUCGGUUGUAACUCUUCAUAGGACGAAGGCGCAAGUGACGGUACCUAUAGAAGAAGACACCGGCCAACUACGUAGCCAGCAGCCGCGGUAA
This 477-nucleotide ribosomal RNA is filed under the name uncultured bacterium. RNAcentral describes it as "bacterial SSU rRNA". It matches the Rfam family "Bacterial small subunit ribosomal RNA", at positions 30 to 523 of the family's 1533-position model. The record is from RNAcentral.